ACACGACCAGCUAUUUAACAAUUUACAAACUUACUUUUGCAACGAAGAAGAAGAAGACGACAACAAAGAUCAGUGAAAUUACCUAAACAAAAAAAUCAGAUUAAGUUAUGAACUCUGAUAAAUACAACUAACAAUGAUUUUUGUUUACAUAUUACCCAUCAAAUGAAAGAUAAACAAACACAGCCACACCAGGAGAUACAAGAGACAAUCCC
RNAcentral lists this long non-coding RNA (212 nucleotides) under Brassica napus (rape). RNAcentral's name for it is "long non-coding RNA (BNAP_LNC024443)". The record is from RNAcentral. Lineage: Eukaryota; Viridiplantae; Streptophyta; Magnoliopsida; Brassicales; Brassicaceae.